Molecule: long non-coding RNA, 1186 nt
Filed under: Homo sapiens (human)
Lineage: Eukaryota; Metazoa; Chordata; Mammalia; Primates; Hominidae
Description: HSALNT0358299
Source: RNAcentral
UAUUAUUUUUGUUAUUGUUACUUAUCUCCUUACUUAUGUAUUUUUCAUUAUUCAAGGGCAAGGACCAUUUUUCCCCUUCUCCUCUUACCCUCCUCCUUGUUCUAAAUAGGACUUAUGGCAAAUUUCAGCAAGUUGAUGAGAAAAAUAGAGGGAAAAUGAAGAUAUAAACAUAAAAUGGAGCCAGCAGAGACUAAUACAGAAAGUACAUCCUUACUUUAGUGGGUCACAGGAUUGGCUCUAAGCUUCCUAGCACCCAAUGAGAUGAAAGAAACUGAAUUAGUUACAUAAUGUAACACUGUUGUCCAUGAAAUAAAACAAGCGAAUAGCUCAGGAGAAACACACCUGGGCGACAUUCUUUUUUUCCUUCUCACUUCCUUCUUGACCUUGUGAUUCAUUUUGCUGAAGGGAAGACCAUUUGUUGGAAAGUGUUUCUGAAUGCGAUGGGAGUCCUGGCCCUUGGUAGAGGCCCACCCCUCGCUGUCUUCAGCUGAUCUGUUAGUAAUAGAGAAGAUCUAGUUCCUGGCCCAGAGAACUGAUCCUGCAAUAGGGCUGUGUUUUUGAAACCAAAAGCGUCAUACAGAUAACAAAGGAGAUGUGUCUCACUGUGGUUAGGCUAUUUUGUAGCAACACUUGUUUCCACUCUUUUGCAAUUUCAGGUUCUGUCAGACUUGAUCUAAACAUGAAUGUGCAAGUCCAGUGCUCAGGCUGAUAUAACCACUGUCUGGGCCCUGAGUUGAUUUGAAUUUCCACUUCCAAUCUGUGGUGCAACGUAUGUAACACAGCAAAUCAGGGAUGGAGACUCAAGAAGUUAAAGAAAAUUUACCCAAGGUCACAGAGCUAGAAAGUGGCAGGAGUCCGGCUUCAAAAUUCAGAUGACUACACACCCCAGUUCCCUCUCAGCCAGGCCACCUUCCUUAGAGAACAACCAAACCCACACCAAAAGGUGAACACAAGCUGAAUCACCAGGACUCAUCAGCAGCGAGGCUUCCUUGGUCCUUUCCCUAGAAAUUCAGGCUCCUGUACUGAAAAAAAUGAAGCAGCUGGAAGCAGUCUUGAGCCCAUAAAUCUGUACCCACUGCAGGGGUCCCGAACUUUUUGUGGGGGGCACACCCCUUUGAAAAUCUAAUAAAAUGAUCAACCCUCUCUUGGGGAAAAAAAGCAGACAUCCAAAUUUUGGCUGACAAUU